This 431-nucleotide ribosomal RNA is filed under the name uncultured bacterium. Its description in RNAcentral is "partial 16S ribosomal RNA". It matches the Rfam family "Bacterial small subunit ribosomal RNA", at positions 29 to 507 of the family's 1533-position model. The record is from RNAcentral.
AGCGAACGCUGGCGGCAGGCUUAACACAUGCCAGUCGAGCGCCCCGCCAGGGGAGCGGCAGACGGGAGAGUAACACGUGGGAACAUACCUUUUGGUUCGGAACAACUGAGGGAAACUUCAGCUACUACCGGAUAAGCCCUUACGGGGAAAGAUUUAUCGCCGAAGGAUUGGCCCGCGUCUGAUUAGCUAGUUGGUGAGGUAACGGCUCACCAAGGCGACGAUCAGUAGCUGGUCUGAGAGGAUGAUCAGCCUCACUGGGACUGAGACACGGCCCAGACUCCUACGGGAGGCAGCAGUGGGGAAUAUUGGACAAUGGGGGCAACCCUGAUCCAGCCAUGCCGCGUGAGUGAUGAAGGCCUUAGGGUUGUAAAGCUCUUUUGCCCGGGAAGAUAAUGACGGUACCGGGAGAAUAAGCCCCGGCUAACUUCGUG